CUGAGGAGCUCUGCUUUCUGCAGCUAGAAGUCUUCCAGACAGCAAAGCCACACCAGGCUUGGACAGUCCUUGCAUAGGAGACCUCUAGGGAAAAAGCCAGGAGCUGCAGGACGUGAUGUUGGCAAUUUAGUGAGUGGUGUCUCCUCCUCCAGUCAGCCGGUGUGGUCAGAACACGUAUUUCUACCUGCUCACCUGGCCGUGCUAUUCUUCAGCAAUCUCGGUCUCCUGGUGGACGACGACCUUGGUCACAGACAUGUCCGGGUGCUGCUCUUUUGCUUCUUUGAUGGCCUGCACUAGAACCUGAGAAAGAAACAUCUCUUCAGAGAAGCACAGUGGGCUGCAAACAGCUGAACAAAGUGAAUUUCACUGCAGUCUCUCCCAUGUCACCAUAUCAGACACUGGGUGAAAUCCUGGCCUCAUUGAUGUCCAUGGCAAAACUCCCAUUCAUUUCAGUGGAGGCAGGAUUUCACCUAGUGGCUGCAGCCUUGGGCAGCAGGCCUGCCUGCCACUCCCACCCAGACCAGAGGGGAGCC
This is a long non-coding RNA of Mauremys reevesii (Reeves's turtle), 533 nucleotides long. RefSeq lists it as uncharacterized. The transcript is spliced from 3 exons. NCBI's taxonomy places the organism in Eukaryota, Metazoa, Chordata, Testudines, Geoemydidae. The record is from RefSeq and is a predicted model, not a curated record.